Molecule: ribosomal RNA, 496 nt
Filed under: uncultured bacterium
Lineage: Bacteria
Description: partial 16S ribosomal RNA
Rfam family: Bacterial small subunit ribosomal RNA
Source: RNAcentral
AUGAACGCUGGCGGCGUGCCUAAUACAUGCAAGUCGCGCGAACAGAUAAGGAGCUUGCUCCUUUGAAGUUAGCGGCGGACGGGUGAGUAACACGUGGGUAACCUACCUAUAAGACUGGGAUAACUUCGGGAAACCGGAGCUAAUACCGGAUAACAUUUAGAACCGCAUGGUUCUAAAGUGAAAGAUGGUUUUGCUAUCACUUAUAGAUGGACCCGCGCCGUAUUAGCUAGUUGGUAAGGUAACGGCUUACCAAGGCGACGAUACGUAGCCGACCUGAGAGGGUGAUCGGCCACACUGGAACUGAGACACGGUCCAGACUCCUACGGGAGGCAGCAGUAGGGAAUCUUCCGCAAUGGGCGAAAGCCUGACGGAGCAACGCCGCGUGAGUGAUGAAGGGUUUCGGCUCGUAAAACUCUGUUAUUAGGGAAGAACAAAUGUGUAAGUAACUGUGCACAUCUUGACGGUACCUAAUCAGAAAGCCACGGCUAACUACGUG